AUGGAGCCCGCGGCCCUCAUCGACCACUCUCGCCGGCCGCGUAACAGCCACAAGGUCAUCGCCUCCUCCCCGGCGCUGGAGCACCAGGCGUUCCUUCUCCACCAGCACGCCGUGGUGAUCACGGCGGUAGGCACUACCGCGCACGCGGCCAGCCCCCACUCCAUUGGCCGCGUGCUCGAGAAGGAGUUCAAGAUCCCGCCCCACCUGCUGCGCGUCACCAACCAUGACCCCGAGGACUUCCUCGUCUUCCUUACCAUGCCUGCCCACAAGGAUCUCGUGGUGCAGCGCGGCUCACUGUCUGUGGACGGUGUGUCGUUUCUGCUCGAGCCAUGGCGGGAGGACGCCCACGCCGUUCGCCUCAAGUGGAUGCUACACGUGCGUCUGGUCAUCGAGAAGCUGCCCAUGACCCUCUGGACGCUGGAGGGGGCGGUGGAGGCCAUCGGGGACAAGGUGAUCGUGGAUCGCCUCGACAGCCGCACGCACGAGCGCGCCGACACCAAGCUCUUCGCCUGCUGGAGCGGCAUUCCUUCCGACGACGAUGAGCCUGACGAGCGCCCGUACCCCCGUGUCGAGCCUGGCGUCUGGACGCCGCGGGUGGAGGAUGGCCGGCGCGCCCCUGAGCCUGCGCUGUCCAUGCGCUCGCAGUCCCGUGCGGCGACUGGGGGCUGCCGGGACAUGUCUUCGGGCGGUGCCAGACGCGACCACGAUGGAGAUGACUCUGGAUACCGGCGGCGAUCAUGGAAGGACACGCUCCUGGGCAUGGGGCGCGCAAGGGACCCUGCUCCAGCGGCCGCCCCGGCGCCCAGGGACCGCCAGCGCAGCCGCACCCCCAUCUCCCGCCACCGCCAGGGCGCGCCUCGUGGCAGGCACUUGUGCCAUGACAAAGAGCUGCCACACGCCCCUGCUAGGCGCAGCGAGACGGCGCAGCCCGGCGCGCCCGCCCAUCCAAGACCAGGAGCAAGGAGCCAGUCGGACACAAGCCGUCCAGAGCAGGGGAGGGGGCCUCAAAUGGCAUCUCCCUGCGCAAAGAAGACCCUGACGCCCCCGCCCCGAACCGACGACCAAGCCUCAAAGAUUGACAAGAUCAUUGCUGCCAAGCUCGACAGGCCGCUCACCUUCACCCAGGAAGACGGCGAGGGCACUGAUGAAUCCUUGGACCUGGGGCCUGCCCUCUCUCUUGCAUGCCACACCCCUCAGGUGGCAUGCACGCACGAGCUGCAGCUGGGCGAGGUCACCCAGAAGGUCACGGAGAUGCAGCUGCUCGGUGAAGAAGAAGAACCGGAGACACAACCCCUCUUCACCCCCUACCCCGCGCGGUCAUCGGCAAGCUGCCGGCCCAGGGCCACGCUACGCAUCGUGCACGGGCUGGGGAUCCUUGGCCCAAAGGAGAAGAUGACGGCUCAGGCGGCCAAAGCUCUCAUCCGCCGUUUCGACGAGCCGCUCUCGGACACCGACAUCGCUGCCAUUGCCAAACUCACCCGCCUCGACGCCCGCACUCUCAAAGUCAUUGCAGGGGUCCAAGACGGUGAGGCCCCAGGACCAUCCGCUGCACCAUGCCAGUAG
Molecule: ribosomal RNA, 1563 nt
Filed under: Triticum aestivum (bread wheat)
Lineage: Eukaryota; Viridiplantae; Streptophyta; Magnoliopsida; Poales; Poaceae
Description: partial small subunit ribosomal RNA
Source: RNAcentral